AGGAUAAACGCUGGCGGCGUGCAUUAGACAUGCAAGUCGAACGGACUUUUCAGGGCUUGCUCUGAAAAGUUAGUGGCGGACGGCUGAGUAACGCGUGGGUGACCUACCCCGAAGUGGGGAAUAACUGCCCGAAAGGGUGGCUAAUACCGCAUGUGAUCGUUUGUUCAUUCGAUCGAUCAAAGCAGAAAUGCGCUUCGGGAGGGGCCUGCGUCCGAUUAGCUCGUUGGUGGGGUAAUGGCUCACCAAGGCGACGAUCGGUAGGUGGUCUGAGAGGACGAUCACCCAGACUGGGACUGAGACACGGCCCAGACUCCUACGGGAGGCAGCAGUCGGGAAUUUUGCUCAAUGGGCGCAAGCCUGAAGCAGCAACGCCGCGUGAGGGAUGAAGGCCUUCGGGUUGUAAACCUCUUUUAUCAGGGAAGAUUAUGACGGUACCUGAUGAAUAAGCCACGGCUAACUACGUGCCAGCAGCCGC
RNAcentral lists this ribosomal RNA (475 nucleotides) under uncultured bacterium. RNAcentral describes it as "SSU rRNA". It matches the Rfam family "Bacterial small subunit ribosomal RNA", at positions 26 to 518 of the family's 1533-position model. The record is from RNAcentral.